UCAAUAUGCACUUAUUUACAAGAUAUAUAAGAAAUUUACCUAAAUCUGCCUAGGCACUAGGCGCUAGCCCGCCACCCGACUAGCGCCUAGUGUUUUUUAGAACCUUGGAAUUUAGUAGCUACUUAUAAAAACCAAAAUUACCAUUGGUUAUCAUCAAUCUAUGAUUCCAUAUUCUCAUGUGCAUGUGCAUGCAUAAAAGCUUUUUAUUUCUUUGGAUAUCCAUUGCCUCUUCAAGGGCAUUACACUAUCUCUUCCAGGAUAGUCAUAAUUUAGAGAAUGCGGAUCAUAAACUCUUCUUGAGCGUUAUAGAGCUUGGAUUUUAAUCUCCACUUCCGGGAGUUGAGUCAUUGGAACCUAUACGUCUAUCAUGCUUCAUGCAUGAGACAUCAAUAUUCCCAUGUCCGCGGAUCGUCCUUUCUGGGAUGUGUAUCCAUACGGUGACUGUCAUGCUUCUGGCAUGCAACAGUUAUGAUUCGGAAAUGCAAUAGUUCAGUAGUGCCAAAUUAUUAUUCUUUCAAAUGACUAAACCUUUUGAGUCUAAAAGUCUACCACGCUUCAGGCGUGCAACAGAGAAAUCAUUUACUGCCUCAUUAUAUUGUCCAACAAGGAUAUCAAUUCUUGUAGGCACAUUUGCAGAAAAUAUAUGUGGUUCACUUUCGUUGCAUCAUUAAAUGCAUCUGGCAUUUGAUUGAUACAUCGUUGCAUCAUUCAAUUAUUCUUACUUCAUUUU
This 730-nucleotide long non-coding RNA is filed under the name Malus domestica (apple). Its description in RNAcentral is "long non-coding RNA (MDOM_LNC003949)". The record is from RNAcentral. Lineage: Eukaryota; Viridiplantae; Streptophyta; Magnoliopsida; Rosales; Rosaceae.